GCUCAGAUUGAACGCUGGCGGGAUGCUUUACACAUGCAAGUCGGACGGCAGCACGGGCUUCGGCCUGGUGGCGAGUGGCGAACGGGUGAGUAAUGUAUCGGAACGUGCCCAGUAGCGGGGGAUAACUACGCGAAAGCGUGGCUAAUACCGCAUACGCCCUACGGGGGAAAGCGGGGGACCUUCGGGCCUCGCACUAUUGGAGCGGCCGAUAUCGGAUUAGCUAGUUGGUGGGGUAACGGCCUACCAAGGCGACGAUCCGUAGCUGGUUUGAGAGGACGACCAGCCACACUGGGACUGAGACACGGCCCAGACUCCUACGGGAGGCAGCAGUGGGGAAUUUUGGACAAUGGGGGCAACCCUGAUCCAGCCAUCCCGCGUGUGCGAUGAAGGCCUUCGGGUUGUAAAGCACUUUUGGCAGGAAAGAAACGGCACGGGCUAAUAUCCUGUGCAACU
RNAcentral lists this ribosomal RNA (453 nucleotides) under Bordetella pertussis. RNAcentral's name for it is "bacterial SSU rRNA". It matches the Rfam family "Bacterial small subunit ribosomal RNA", at positions 22 to 474 of the family's 1533-position model. Lineage: Bacteria; Pseudomonadati; Pseudomonadota; Betaproteobacteria; Burkholderiales; Alcaligenaceae. The record is from RNAcentral.